GGCAGCGGGACACUUCGGUGUUGCCGGCGACCGGCGUACGGGUGCGUAAUGCGUAUGCAAUCUACUUUACACUGGGGAAUAGCUCCCGGAAACAGGAAUUAAUACCCCAUAUUAUCUUACAAGCGCAUGUUUGUAAGAUGAAAGCUCCGGCGGUGUAAAAUGAGCAUACGUCCUAUUAGCUAGUUGGCGGGGUAAAGGCCCACCAAGGCGAUGAUGGGUAGGGGUUCUUAGUGGAAGAUCCCCCACACUGGCACUGAGAUACGGGCCAGACUCCUACGGGAGGCAGCAGUAGGGAAUAUUGGUCAAUGGGCGCAAGCCUGAACCAGCCAUGCCGCGUGCAGGAUGAAGGCUCUAUGAGUUGUAAACUGCUUUUGU
RNAcentral lists this ribosomal RNA (375 nucleotides) under Candidatus Cardinium sp. Ev225. RNAcentral's name for it is "bacterial SSU rRNA". It matches the Rfam family "Bacterial small subunit ribosomal RNA", at positions 68 to 439 of the family's 1533-position model. Lineage: Bacteria; Pseudomonadati; Bacteroidota; Cytophagia; Cytophagales; Amoebophilaceae. The record is from RNAcentral.